Molecule: ribosomal RNA, 305 nt
Filed under: uncultured bacterium
Lineage: Bacteria
Description: bacterial SSU rRNA
Rfam family: Bacterial small subunit ribosomal RNA
Source: RNAcentral
UUCCCUACGGGAGGCGGCAGUAGGGAAUAUUGCUCAAUGGGGGAAACCCUGAAGCAGCGACGCCGCGUGUGGGAAGACGGUCCUCUGGAUUGUAAACCACUGUCCCCAGGGACGAAGAUGACGGUACCUGGGGAGGAGGCUCCGGCUAACUACGUGCCAGCAGCCGCGGUAAUACGGAGGGUGCAAGCGUUACUCGGAAUCACUGGGCGUAAAGAGCGCGUAGGCGGGAUAGCAAGUCAGAUGUGAAAUCCUAUGGCUUAACCAUAGAACUGCAUUUGAAACUGUUAUUCUAGAGUAUGGGAGAG